This 95-nucleotide small RNA is filed under the name Fukomys damarensis (Damara mole-rat). RNAcentral describes it as "7SK RNA (ENSFDAG00000013676.1)". It matches the Rfam family "7SK RNA", at positions 8 to 99 of the family's 331-position model. From Rfam's summary of the family: 7SK was discovered as an abundant small nuclear RNA in the mid-70s but a possible function has only recently been suggested. Two independent studies have found that 7SK RNA binds the CDK9/cyclin T complex (known as elongation factor P-TEFb). The record is from RNAcentral. Lineage: Eukaryota; Metazoa; Chordata; Mammalia; Rodentia; Bathyergidae.
AGGGUGAUCUGGCUGUAACAUCUGUCACCCCGCUGAUCGCCAGGGUUGAUGUGACUGAUCCGGCUGGUAGCUAGGCCAGUGUCCCCUUCCUCCUU